Molecule: unclassified non-coding RNA, 253 nt
Filed under: Candidatus Levyibacteriota bacterium
Lineage: Bacteria; Candidatus Levyibacteriota
Description: Candidatus Levybacteria bacterium contains 16S-23S intergenic spacer region
Rfam family: Bacterial small subunit ribosomal RNA
Source: RNAcentral
UACGUAGGAGGCAAGCGUUAUCCGGAUUAACUGGGCGUAAAGCGUGCGUAGGCGGUUUUGUAAGUCGCUUUUUAAAUCCUGUGGCUUAACCACAGAUUUGGAGGCGAUACUGCAUGACUUGAGGAUCGUUCGGGGUAUCGGAACAGUUGGUGUAGCGGUGAAAUGCGUUGAUAUCAACUGGAACACCGAAGGCGAAGGCAGAUACCUGGGAUUUUCCUGACGCUGAGGUACGAAAGCUAGGGUAGCGAAAGGG